Long non-coding RNA from Scylla paramamosain (green mud crab), 2840 nucleotides. RefSeq lists it as uncharacterized. The transcript is spliced from 6 exons. The record is from RefSeq and is a predicted model, not a curated record. NCBI's taxonomy places the organism in Eukaryota, Metazoa, Arthropoda, Malacostraca, Decapoda, Portunidae.
AAACUCAAAAAUUAAGUUAACCGUCCCUGGGUGAAGACUGGCCGCCGCCCCGCCAUGUCUGAACAACAACAUUCGUCCAGGGUUGAAGCGAUCAGGCAGUUUUCAGCUGUAAUUGUGUACUACUCCAUCUCCCUGCCUCCCUGCCCUGCCCCACCCAGACACCAUGGCCCAGCAGCGACACCAUUCCACCUGCUACACGACGCUGGCUGACGCACUCCUGACAUGGCAAUGACAGGAGGCGGAAAACAGGAGCAAGUGUCAGAUGGUGAAGGAAGUAUGCAGGUUUGCAGUAAACCUCCCUGAAGGUUCCAGAGGUGGUCAGCAAAUGUCCAGUCCAGGCUGUCACAAGACUGUGUGAUGGAGGACUUUCCACUGAUACUCAUUGAUAACAGCUGUGCACUGCCACUCACAGGAAAUAUUGAGUUGCUUUGAAGCUGAGAUGAGUGAGUUGGUCAGCUAGUGAGUGGCUGUGUAACCAUUAAUAAGUAAGUUCUUUCUUUAUAACUCUUCAUACAUGGAUUGUCAUACAUGGAUGGAUAAGUCCCUUGUACAGAGUCACCAGCUGGUGGGGGGAGGGGUGACAAAAACUGGCGGAGAUGUCUCAGAAUGUCUAACUUCACAGAAGCUGCUUUAGCUAGAGAUGAGAUAUGAAGUUUCCAGUUUAGAUUAUAAGUAAAGGACAGAUCGAGGAUGUUCAGUGUAGAAGAGGGGGACAGUUGUGUCACUGAAGAAGAGGGGAUAGUUGUCUGGAAGGUUGUGUUGAGUUGAUAGGUGGAGGAAUUGAGUUUUUGAGACACUGAACAAUACCAAGUUUGCUCUGCCCCAAUCAGAAAUUUUAGAGAGAUGAGAAGUGAGGCAUUCUGUGGCUUCCCUGCGUGAACUGUUUACUUCCUGAAGGGUUGGAUGUCUGAAAAGACGUGGAAAAAUGCAGGGUGAUGUCAUCAGCGUAGGAGUGGAUAGGACAAGAAGUUUGGGUUAGAAGAUCAUUAAUAAAUAAUAAGAAGAGAGUGGGUGACUGGACAGAACCCUGAGGAACACCACUGUUUAUAGAUUUAGGAGAAGAACAGUGACUGUCUACUACAGCAGCAAUAGAACGGUCAGAAAGGAAACUUGAGAUGAAGUUACAGAGAGAAGGAUAGAAGCCGUAGGAGGGUAGUUUGGAAAUGAAAGCUUUGUGCCAGACUCAAUCAAAAGCUUUUGAUAUGUCCAAGGCAACAGCAAGUUUCACCAAAAUCUCUAAAAGAAGAUGACGAAGAUUUGGUAAGGAAAGUCAGAAGAUCACCAGUAGAGUGGCCUUGACGGAACCCAUACUGGCGAUCAGAUAGAAGGUUGUGAAGUGAUAGAUGUUUAAGAAUCUUCCUGUUGAGGAUAGAUUCAAAAAUUUUAGAUAGGCAGGAAAUUAAAGCAAUAGGACUGAUGUUUGAGGGAUUAAAACUACUGCUACUACUACUACUACAUCAACUCACAUCUUGCCUGACUCCCAGACCAACAUUUACUGUGUAGAAAUGGCACAGUCUGCUCCUUUAAUCCUUUUCCUAUCUUGAAUGUGCAUAUCAGUGUACCCUGUUGUACCUCCCAUGCUGUGUAAUGCUUCAGUGUUGAUUGUGUGUGUUUCCCUCAGGUGGCACUGUGGAUAGCAAGCGGAAGAGACCUUGGGAGACUUCCAUUAACGAGGAGCAACAAGCACACCUCACUGGAGUCUUUCAGGAACCAACAGUCAGCUGUGCCUUGUGUCAGUGCAUCUGUGGCCACCUGUGUCAUGGCUGUCGUUGAUCUUGCUGUCUCCCGUCCAGUCUCACAACUACAAAGCCCUCUCAAACAAGGCCUAUCACAGCACUCUUCCCUUUGUUAAGCUUGGCAGCACCAGUUAUAAUGGCCUGAUGUGAAGGUGUCUGCAGCCAGUGGUGGGUGUCCUCUCUGCCUGGUGGUGCCUCAUUGCAGGGCCUGAUGUGAAGGUGUCUGCAGCCAGUGGUGGGUGUCCUCUGUGCCUGCCUGGUGGUGCAGCCUGGUGUGUUGCCUGCUUCAGUGUAAAUCUUGCAAGCUAGAUCUGCCAGCUGUCUCCAGUGUAGUAUAGUGUAGGGUGCUUUGCUUUGUGUCUUUGGGAAUAAAUAAAUUUGUGACUAUCAUUCUCAUGUGAAUUAUAUAGUUUGAUAAAAUUACAGAAUGUGGUUGUUUAAACUAUAUAUUUGGUGGUAAACAAUUCAUGCCCCCCCAAAUAAAUAAAUAAAUAAAAUAAAUAAAUAGGACCCAAAAUACUGAUACAACACUGAUACAAUUGAUCCCCUCUGGUCAAAAAAAAAAAAAGCCAGGAUUGGCCUAUAUCCUGGCCUAUCUUGGCUAAGUUUAAGGUGAAACUUGCACACACAAGCCCUGUCCGAGCGACUCCGGAGUCGCUCAGACAGGGCUUCUGUGUGCGAGUUUCACCUUAAACUUAGCCGCCAAUCCUGUUUUUUUUUUUUUUUUUUUUUUUUUUUUGACCAGAGGGGAUCAUCAAUUGUUUACUAGUAUUUUUUGCAUCUAUUUAUUUAUUUAUUUAAUUAAUGAAUGAAUGAAUUUAUUUUAUUUUAUUUUUUUUUUUUUUAUCAGGGCUAUGAAUUUGUUACACCAGAAAGCUUAUUUGCAAUUUGUAAGACUUAUAAUUCCACAAGUAUGAACAAGAUAAUAUAUAUUGUUUAAAUCACAUUGUUAAAGUUUCUGAGGAGGCAUAUGAAUUGUUACACCAGAAAGCUGGUUUAUUUGCAACUUAUACUAAUAAUUCCUUAAGUAUGUAUUAUUAGUAUAAGAUAAUGUUUAAUCAUUAUUGUUUAAUCACAUAAAAGUUUAAUAAAUAUACACAAUUA